AGGACGAACGCUGGCGGCGUGCUUAACACAUGCAAGUCGAGCGAGGCCCUUCCUUCGGGAAGGUGCCCUAGCGGCGAACGGGUGAGUAACACGUGGGCAACCUGCCCCUAGCACUGGGAUAACUCCGGGAAACCGGGGCUAAUACCAGAUAUGACCUUUGAGGGCAUCCUCGAAGGUGUAAAGGAUUCUGGCUAGGGGAUGGGCCCGCGGCCUAUCAGCUUGUUGGUGGGGUAAUGGCCUACCAAGGCGACGACGGGUAGCCGGCCUGAGAGGGCGACCGGCCACACUGGGACUGAGACACGGCCCAGACUCCUACGGGAGGCAGCAGUGGGGAAUAUUGCACAAUGGGCGAAAGCCUGAUGCAGCGACGCCGCGUGAGGGAUGACGGCCUUCGGGUUGUAAACCUCUUUCAGCAGGGACGAAGCGAAAGUGACGGUACCUGCAGAAGAAGCACCGGCCAACUACGCGCAGCAGCCGC
This 478-nucleotide ribosomal RNA is filed under the name uncultured bacterium. Its description in RNAcentral is "SSU rRNA". It matches the Rfam family "Bacterial small subunit ribosomal RNA", at positions 26 to 518 of the family's 1533-position model. The record is from RNAcentral.